RNAcentral lists this ribosomal RNA (468 nucleotides) under uncultured bacterium. Its description in RNAcentral is "partial 16S ribosomal RNA". It matches the Rfam family "Bacterial small subunit ribosomal RNA", at positions 28 to 507 of the family's 1533-position model. The record is from RNAcentral.
GACGAACGCUGGCGGCGUGCUUAACACAUGCAAGUCGAACGGAAAGGCCCUGCUUUUGUGGGGUGCUCGAGUGGCGAACGGGGGAGUAACACGUGAGUAACCUGCCCUUGACUGUGGGAUAACUUCAGGAAACUGGGGCUAAUACCGGAUAGGAGCUCCUGCUGCAUGGUGGGGGUUGGAAAGUUUCGGCGGUGGGGGAUGGACUCGCGGCUUAUCAGCUUGUUGGUGGGGUAGUGGCUUACCAAGGCUUUGACGGGUAGCCGGCCUGAGAGGGUGACCGGGCACAUUGGGGCUGAGAUACGGCCCAGAAUCCUACGGGAGGCAGCAGUGGGGAAUCUUGCACAAUGGGCCGAAGCCUGAUGGAGCGACGCCGCGUGCGGGAUGACGGCCUUCGGGUUGUAAACCGCUUUCGCCUGUGACGAAGAGUGAGUGACGGUAAUGGGUAAAGAAGCACCGGCUAACUACGUG